This 253-nucleotide ribosomal RNA is filed under the name uncultured bacterium. Its description in RNAcentral is "partial 16S ribosomal RNA". It matches the Rfam family "Bacterial small subunit ribosomal RNA", at positions 524 to 776 of the family's 1533-position model. The record is from RNAcentral.
UACGUAGGGACCGAGCGUUGUCCGGAAUUAUUGGGCGUAAAGGGCGCGUAGGCGGCCAUGCGUGUCUUUCGUGAAAUCCCUCGGCUUAACUGAGGACGUGCGGAAGAAACUGCAAGGCUUGAGUCCGGGAGAGGGGGGUGGAAUUCCCAGUGUAGCGGUGAAAUGCGUAGAUAUUGGGAGGAACACCGGUGGCGAAGGCGGCCCCCUGGACCGGUACUGACGCUGAGGCGCGAAAGCGUGGGUAGCAAACGGG